GACGAACGCUGGCGGCGUGCUUAACACAUGCAAGUCGAACGGAAAGGCCCUGCUUUUGUGGGGUGCUCGAGUGGCGAACGGGUGAGUAACACGUGAGUAACCUGCCCUUGACUUUGGGAUAACUUCAGGAAACUGGGGCUAAUACCGGAUAGGAGCUCCUGCUGCAUGGUGGGGGUCGGAAAGUUUCGGCGGUUGGGGAUGGACUCGCGGCUUAUCAGCUUGUUGGUGGGGUAGUGGCUUACCAAGGCUUUGACGGGUAGCCGGCCUGGGAGGGUGACCGGCCACGUUGGGACUGGGCUGCGGCCCGGACUCCUACGGGACGCAGAAGUGGGGAAUAUUGCACUAUGGGCGGAAGCCUGAUGCAGCAACGCCGCGUGCGGGAUGACGGCCUUCGGUUUGUAAUCCGCUUUCGCCUGUGACGAAGCGUGAGUGACGGUAAUGGGUAAAGAAGCACCGGCUAACUACGUG
This 468-nucleotide ribosomal RNA is filed under the name uncultured bacterium. RNAcentral's name for it is "partial 16S ribosomal RNA". It matches the Rfam family "Bacterial small subunit ribosomal RNA", at positions 28 to 507 of the family's 1533-position model. The record is from RNAcentral.